AGAGUUUGAUCCUGGCUCAGAUUGAACGCUGGCGGCAUGCCUUACACAUGCAAGUCGAACGGCAGCACGGGAGCAAUCCUGGUGGCGAGUGGCGAACGGGUGAGUAAUAUAUCGGAACGUGCCCAGUCGUGGGGGAUAACGCAGCGAAAGCUGUGCUAAUACCGCAUACGAUCUAUGGAUGAAAGCGGGGGAUCGCAAGACCUCGCGCGAUUGGAGCGGCCGAUAUCAGAUUAGGUAGUUGGUGGGGUAAAGGCCCACCAAGCCGACGAUCUGUAGCUGGUCUGAGAGGACGACCAGCCACACUGGAACUGAGACACGGUCCAGACUCCUACGGGAGGCAGCAGUGGGGAAUUUUGGACAAUGGGCGCAAGCCUGAUCCAGCAAUGCCGCGUGCAGGAUGAAGGCCUUCGGGUUGUAAACUGCUUUUGUACGGAACGAAACGGCGAGCUCUAAUAAAGCUUGCUAAUGACGGUACCGUAAGAAUAAGCACCGGCUAACUACGUGCCAGCAGCCGCGGUAAUACGUAGGGUGCAAGCGUUAAUCGGAAUUACUGGGCGUAAAGCGUGCGCAGGCGGUUAUAUAAGACAGAUGUGAAAUCCCCGGGCUCAACCUGGGACCUGCAUUUGUGACUGUAUAGCUAGAGUACGGCAGAGGGGGAUGGAAUUCCGCGUGUAGCAGUGAAAUGCGUAGAUAUGCGGAGGAACACCGAUGGCGAAGGCAAUCCCCUGGGCCUGUACUGACGCUCAUGCACGAAAGCGUGGGGAGCAAACAGGAUUAGAUACCCUGGUAGUC
Molecule: ribosomal RNA, 792 nt
Filed under: uncultured bacterium
Lineage: Bacteria
Description: bacterial SSU rRNA
Rfam family: Bacterial small subunit ribosomal RNA
Source: RNAcentral